RNAcentral lists this ribosomal RNA (497 nucleotides) under uncultured bacterium. RNAcentral's name for it is "partial 16S ribosomal RNA". It matches the Rfam family "Bacterial small subunit ribosomal RNA", at positions 28 to 507 of the family's 1533-position model. The record is from RNAcentral.
GAUGAACGCUGGCGGCGUGCCUAAUACAUGCAAGUCGAGCGAACGGACGAGAAGCUUGCUUUUCUGAUGUUAGCGGCGGACGGGUGAGUAACACGUGGAUAACCUACCUAUAAGACUGGGAUAACUUCGGGAAACCGGAGCUAAUACCGGAUAAUAUUUUGAACCGCAUGGUUCAAAAGUGAAAGACGGUCUUGCUGUCACUUAUAGAUGGAUCCGCGCUGCAUUAGCUAGUUGGUAAGGUAACGGCUUACCAAGGCAACGAUGCAUAGCCGACGUGAGAGGGUGAUCGGCCACACUGGAACGGAGACACGGUCCAGACGCCUACGGGAGGCAGCAGUAGGGAAUCUUCCGCAAUGGGCGAAAGCCUGACGGAGCAACGCCGAGUGAGUGAUGAAGGUCUUCGGAUCGUAAAACUCUGUUAUUAGGGAAGAACAUAUGUGUAAGUAACUGUGCACAUCUUGACGGUACCUAAUCAGAAAGCCACGGCUAACUACGUG